CGGAAUGUAGCUCAGCUUGGUAGAGCGCACGGUUCGGGACCGUGAGGCCCAGGGUUCAAAUCCCUGCAUUCCGA
This 74-nucleotide transfer RNA is filed under the name Kyrpidia spormannii. It matches the Rfam family "tRNA". Rfam says of the family: Transfer RNA (tRNA) molecules are approximately 80 nucleotides in length. Their secondary structure includes four short double-helical elements and three loops (D, anti-codon, and T loops). The record is from Rfam by way of RNAcentral. Lineage: Bacteria; Bacillati; Bacillota; Bacilli; Caryophanales; Alicyclobacillaceae.